AGUACAAAUGAUGUGUGUUUCCGCUACUC
This 29-nucleotide small RNA is filed under the name Bombyx mori (domestic silkworm). Its description in RNAcentral is "ovarian small RNA-12249". Lineage: Eukaryota; Metazoa; Arthropoda; Insecta; Lepidoptera; Bombycidae. The record is from RNAcentral.